Molecule: unclassified non-coding RNA, 6184 nt
Filed under: Gigantopelta aegis
Lineage: Eukaryota; Metazoa; Mollusca; Gastropoda; Neomphalida; Peltospiridae
Description: sentrin-specific protease 8-like, transcript variant X1
Source: RNAcentral
GAUGGCUGAGGACGAAGACCCUAUCAUUUUGAAUUUUAAUGACAGUUUACUAAGAAAGUCGGAUGUCAGUCUUUUGGAAGGACCAUAUUGGCUUAACGAUAAUAUCAUUGGAUUUUGUCUAGAGUAUUUUGAGAAGGAGAAGUUCAGCCACUCGGUGGACAGACUGUGUCUCAUGAACCCGGCGUUCGUCCAGCUCAUCAAGUUGUCACGUGUUGAGGAGCUUUCUAUACUGCUGGAGUCUCUGUAUCUGCCGGUGAAACAGUUUGUGUUUCUCCCCGUCAACGACAACCCUCGGGACGCCGCGGGCGGAUCUCACUGGAGUUUGUUGGUAUAUGUGAGGAGUAAACAGGAGUUCCGGCACUACGACUCGUCAGGGAACACUAACAGUGCCAUGGCCAAGAAUCUCGCUUACAAGCUGCAGCCCUUUGUUCAUGCUCCCUUGGGCAGAAUGCAGUUUAUAGAAAUGGAUUGUCCUCAGCAACAAAAUGGUUAUGACUGUGGCUUGUUUGUGAUAGCGAUCACGGAGUACCUGUGUAAGAACUUCUGUGAGUGUGUCAGUAUUCCCCUCCACGAGGUGGUCAACUCUGCGACCGUGGCAAGGAAACGACAAGCUAUCAAGGAACUCAUCGCUGCGGUGGAACGCGACCAGCAUCUAUCCAAGAGUUAACACACGGACAAAAACUAGUAAUCAUGUACAUACAAUUGUCAUGUGUGUGUCUUACAGCUGUGAAAGUUAUAUUUUGGUCAAAUUAUUUAAAAGUGUUUUAACUGUGAACUUGAGACUCUGUUGGUCAAUAUAUCCUGGAUCAUACUUAUAAAUUCUUGUGAUGUAUUAGGUGUAGAUCUAGGGGAGGGUGCUGGUGGUACAUACCCAUUCGACUAAACCUCAGAUUGGCCCAGAAAUCUAGUAUGAAUAUUUAUAAGAUAUUAAACGAGCUUCCAUUUCAUAUCAUGUUUAUGUUCCGAGUGAAAUAAUUUUCAGUUGUCACGAACUUUAGUGAGUGGCAAUGAAAAUUAUUUCACGAGGGACUUUAACAUGAUACGAAAUGGUAGCGAGUUUAAUAUCCUAUUUAUUACCCAUAAUCGAUCUUAAUUUAUAUCACUCAUCUCAUUUUGUUGACAUUCGUGUACGGUUGUAGUGCACUAACUGAUGAUGUCAUCAUGUGACGUCAAAAGUUUUACGUCCUACUUGGCAUUCUAGUGGGACGUAUUACUUUGAUAUGUACCAAGAUAUUUGUAACCAUAUGUGUAAUAAAAUUAAUUUAUUUCUAUUCAGUGGGGAAGAUGUAAUGUCAGGUGGGUGUUUCUGCAGUAUGAUUGCCAUUACAUGGUACAUGUUUAUACCUUAGAAUACUGUUAUUGUGAUACACGUUUAUAAUAUACUUUAGAAUACCAUAACUCCAUCUACAUCUACACAAGCUGUGUUUUAACCCAUGUUCAAUACAACCCAGGUAAAAUCUUAAAAUAACAUCGGUUAUUGUGUCUGGCAUUUGGUAUAAUUGCAUUUUAAAAUUGCUUAAAUUGCUUAAAUAUGGAUACUUUGGGAAGAAUGAAUGUUAACAACCCAGCACAAAAAUACAUCGACUAUUGGUCAUGUUUUAGAAAAACCCAGAACACUGUUGGGUUGUUUCAGAUGUUCCUUUAGAGAAAUAGUGUUUAUGUAACAUGCCAUCCACCGAUGUGCAUAUCGAUCACGCUGCACUGUUUGUGGACCCAUCAUGUGCAGUGCCGUCGGUAGAUCGCACAAGCUUCAGUCGAGUAUGCUGCACCAUCAGUGGAUCCGUUGUUAACGUAGCCAACAGUGUAGCGCAAUCGGUUGAUACUUGCACUAUCUACCAAUGGGCUAUGGCUUCACUAACAAUAGGUCCUUAAUGGUGUGAUCGACUAAUGCUUGUACGCAUCCUGCCGAUGGCUACACUAACUGGAUCCAACGUGAUAUAUACACCUAUAUGAGGGACACAUUUACAUGAGUGAGAUAAAUAGAGUAAAUAUGUUGCUUUUUUUACCUGACUCAUUAUGGCCGCUUUAGCAGUAAGAAAAUGUCCUGGUUUUUUUUAAAUACAAUACCUAAAUAUUUAUACUGGUCGACUAUCUCCACAUUAUUAUAAAUUAUUUUACAGUUUACAUUACAUCUUUUAGAUCCAAAUACUACAAUUUUUUUUUUGACAACAUUCAGUUUCAAUUUCCAUAAUUUACAAUACUUAACAAAAUAAUCGAAGUUUUUCUGUAAAUCAUCCACAUGAUAGUUGGGGUCGAAAUGUUUGAUUAGCUGACAACUUAAAAAAAAUUCAAUUUCUAACACAAUAUUAGUUAGAAAUAAUUCACCAUAAACUUGUGUACUCUCACAAAAUAAUUUUAAAAUGUCAUUUACUUUAGAUUGGUCAAAUAUUAUUAAUAAAUUCACACUAAUAAUUUUAAAAUGUCAUUUACUUUAGAUUGGUCAAAUAUUAUUAAUAAAUUCACACUAAUAAUUUUAAAAUGUCAUUUACUUUAGAUUGGUCAAAUAUUAUUAAUAAAUUCACACUAAUAAUUUUCUUUCCAGUUACCAGCUUCAUGCACUUUGUUUUGUAAUCUAUCAAAAAUACAUUUUCUGAUAACAUCUUUGGUUAAUUGACAAAGGACAAUGUAUGUCAGAAUACAAAGAACAUAACUAUUCUACCUUAGAGCCUGAGAUCAUUUGUAUUACAGGGGAAGAGCAGAUCAAAUAAUCUACCAUACUAACAUCUUUACAGGAUGUUUUCCCUGUGUACCUGUCAUCUCCAAGCCGACCAUUACCAAUUAAAAGAUUAUCCAGAUUAUAUCGAGUCUUAGGUACGAGUAAAGUGUCAAACACACUAGUAACAUUGAAGUCAGUAAUGUCCUCACAGUGAAUACCAAUAUAUCUAAUGAGUGAAAUAUCGUGUUCAGUAUAGUCACACGAUGUAGCAGUUCUUGUAUUCAAUCUCUGAUUAAACUCAACAAAGGUGUAUAACGAACAUGUUUUAUACAUCCCUGUGUAAGUUGGUUCCACAUAUUAUCCUGGGCUAUGGGGGAAUUUCAGGAGGUAAACAAACAGUACCAAUAAUUAAAUCCAACUCCUCUCCCAUUACGUAUAGGAGAGUGUCCUGCUAUGUUUCACCCGUCUCCAUGUUCACUAAUAUUUGAGGUCAUAACCUGAACAUGAAUUGUGUUCUACUAAACACCUGGACAGUGCAGACUAAAUAACUAUAUUACAAAACAAUAGUGACACCAUAGCUUAUGAUGGUUUUACAGUUUCGUAGUGCUUAGAAAGGUAUGGGUCCUGAUUUUCAUGAUAAAUAUAUCAGUAUAUAUGUGAACCACUCAAAUCAUAUUCUAUAUCUAAAAAUAAUGCUUUAGUAAGUAAUAAUAUAAGUACUUUUUUAAAACAAAUAUUUCAGAUCACUCACUGAUCCAUAGAACAUAAUAUAUAUACCUAUUAUAUACUGGAGAACUCCCAAUAUCGCAGUACUUAACAGUGUUAUUCAAUUAAAAGAAUAUCAUAACAUUUCUAACAAACAAAAACAAAAAUAUAUAUAUUUAUUCUAUAACUUACCUAUAAUAUCCAUGACAUAAACCCAUUUGAUACUUACCAUUAUUAACUGUUAAUAAUGUUUUGCUGUCAGUGGGUCAUUUGUUUACAGCCAAUUAGACUUGAGAUUUAGUUGAAGUCAAACUACAGACUCAGUUGAUAUUUUCCAUAUUAAAAAACACUCCUGAUGAAUCCUCUCUCUUAGUGGCAUUUUGUUUUUUCUGUAUUCUUCAAAGCACUUCUUGAUAUAACAUGGUUGAUGGUUGGACGUGAUUUACUUCUUGAAAUGGCGGUUUCAGUUGACUGUGACACAAUCUUUUAAUGUCACUCAAGGAUAGUUACAGUUGUCUGUGACACAAUCUUCUAACAGUGUCACUCAAGGAUAGUUUCAAUUGUCUGUGACACAAUCUUCUAAUAAUGUCACUCAAGGAUAGGUUCAGUUGUUUGACACAAUCUUCUAACAAUGUCACUCCAAGAUAGGUUCAGUUGUCUGUGACACAAUCUUCUAAUAAUGUCACUCAAGGAUAGGUUCAGUUGUCUGACACAAUCUUCUAACAAUGUCACUCAAAGAUAGGUUCAGUUGUCUGUGACACAAUUUUCUAACAAUGUCACUCAAGAAUAGUUUCAGUUGUCUGUGACACAAUCUUCUAAAUGUCACUCGGGGAUGUCAUUAAUAGGCGACAGUUUGUGAUUUUUCAUGUCUGUGUAAUAGAUGUUCAGUGUAUAGAACUACAAAGAAUAAGGCUUUUUAUAGCGUGACCAUCAAGAUCAGUUGGCUAUACUGAGUAUGAUAAAUCAACACCUAGCUAACGAGAUCAAAGCCGGGAGUGGGUGUGGCCUAAUUGGGAGGUCAGCCAGCGGGCUGUAUGUUUGUAAGACCUAGCUCAUUUGCAUAAAUGGGGCCAGAGUGACCCCACCACUACUUAUGUCAUUAGUAUUUGUUUCAUUAGUUUAUCUUUAAGAUUUUUAGUUUUAUUACAAGUUUUAAUGGGCUAUCAAAAGACACUAUUUAUCUACACAAAAAGCUAUUGAAAAUGUUUAAGAUAUUUUUGAAAUGCCAUUGAGCAUUGGUUACCACUGCUGAAACGAGUAGUAGUAUUCGGCAAAAGUAUGUUAAUCUGAAAUUGUUUUUUGCAAGUUGGCUGUGUAGAUUAAUGUUUGUCAUAUGUCAGAUAGUAUCAACCAUGGAAAAACAUGCUUGGCUUAGUCUGAGGUGGAGUAACAUCAUGCUUAUAUGGGAGGCACUUUCUUUGGGUGACCCCCCUCCCCCUCCAUUAUUAUAUCCUGGCUCAGCCGGUUGAUGUUUUUUAAUAGUUUAUGCACUCACUGUUCAAAUAAAUCCAUUCUGGACCCAACCUCUGGCAAAACUAAGCUGUUCCCCCCAGAAUAGAAGUUUGCCGAGUAUGUGACCAAAGGCCUAAUCACUUUCACUUAAAGGUACUUAGCCCUCAAAUAGAAGUUUGCCGAGUAUGUGACCAAAGGCCUAAUCACUUUCACUUAAAGGUACUUAGCCCUCAAAUAGAAGUUUGCCGAGUAUGUGACCAACGGCCUAAUCACUUUCACUUAAAGGUACUUAGCCCUCAAAUAGAAGUUUGCCGAGUAUGUGACCAAAGGCCUAAUCACUUUCACUUAAAGGUACUUAGCCCUCAAAUAGAAGUUUGCCAAGUAUGUGACCAAAGGCCUAAUCACUUUCACUUAAAGGUACUUAGCCCUCAAAUAGAAGUUUGCCGAGUAUGUGACCAAAGGCCUAAUCACUUUCACUUAAAGGUACUUAGCCUUCAAAUAGAAGUUUGCCAAGUAUGUGACCAAAGGCCUAAUCACUUUCACUUAAAGGUACUUAGCCCUCAAAUAGAAGUUUGCCGAGUAUGUGACCAAAGGCCUAAUCACUUUCACUUAAAGGUACUUAGCCUUCAAAUAGAAGUUUGCCAAGUAUGUGACCAAAGGCCUAAUCACUUUCACUUAAAGGUACUUAGCCUUCAAAUAGAAGUUUGCCGAGUAUGUGACCAAAGGCCUAAUCACUUUCACUUAAAGGUACUUAGCCUUCAAAUAGAAGUUUGCCAAGUAUGUGACCAACGGCCUAAUCACUUUCACUUAAAGGUACUUAGCCCUCAAAUAGAAGUUUACCGAGUAUGUGACCAAAGGCCUAAUCACUUUUCACUUAAAGGUACUUAGCCCUCAAAUAGAAGUUUGCCGAGUAUGUGACCAAAGGCCUAAUCACUUUCACUUAAAGGUACUUAGCCCUCAAAUAGAAGUUUGCCGAGUAUGUGACCAAAGGCCUAAUCACUUUCACUUAAAGGUACUUAGCCUUCAAAUUGAAGUUCGUUUUCUGAGAUGACCAACCAGACUAUGUGUUCAUCUACUUGCCAGUAAUACACACACAAAAAGACAAAAUUAAGUAUGUAUUAGUCUGUAGCAUGUAUAUAUGAUUAUGAAUCUGUCAUUAGCAUAUCCAAAUCUGUAUCGCAGCACAUAACUGAUUCCAAAAGAAUUUAAGAUAGAGUUGUGAGGUUGCAGUGCCUGCAAAGGAGAACUAUGAAUUAGAGUUUAGAAACACUUUUUGAAUGUGACAGAAUGUAGCUAGCAUCUUACAAAAAAUGACGUCAUGUAUCUUGUAUGAUGUCACGACAAAAGCCUUGCUAGGUUGACAAUACUCUA